Molecule: ribosomal RNA, 253 nt
Filed under: uncultured bacterium
Lineage: Bacteria
Description: partial 16S ribosomal RNA
Rfam family: Bacterial small subunit ribosomal RNA
Source: RNAcentral
UACGUGAGCCCCGAGCGUUAUCCGGAAUUACUGGGCGUAAAGAGUGCGUAGGUGGUCGUGUUAGUCUCUUGCCAAAUCCUUCGGCUCAACCGAAGAACUUCAAGGGAAACGGCACGACUGGAACAUGUGAGAGGUUUGCGGAACUCAUGGUGUAGGGGUGAAAUCCGUUGAUAUCAUGGGGAACACCAAAUGCGAAGGCAGCAAACUGGCGCAUUGUUGACGCUGAGGCACGAAAGCGUGGGUAGCGAAUGGG